CUGGAGCGGGGGCCGGGGCGUGGGAGGUCACCGGCCAGGACCCUGGCGUGCCCGCGGACAGCAGCAGAAGCCAGAGCAGAGCCACCAGCCAGCCUCGGCCUUGGGGCGCCGGCGCCUCUGUACCCAUCAUGGGGGCCGCUGACCCCGGCCUGACCUGACUGACCUGACCCUGUGCCCUGACCCCGUCCUGAUCCCAGACCCUGCCCCUGGCCCCACCCCACCGCCUUCCACACCCCAGCACCAUCUCCUCCUAACUCUGGGUACUGACCCUGCCCAGACCACAGACCAGCCUGGACCCAGGCCUGGACUCCUCUCCACACCUGGUCCUGACCCUCAGGGCUGCCCUCUUGCCCAGCUGCUCCCGGCAUGACCCAACCUCAAUACAAUCAAGUUGCUCCUCCAACUCAAGAGGAAAGACAGUAGACUCCUUAUAGAAAAGUGGGAAAUGUGUGAGCAGACAACUGGCCUCGAGAAUGCAGGACCACACGCUCCCAGGAGAUGAGGCCGGACCACAUCCACAAACACCUGCCAAGGACUCCAGUGAGUCUGUCAGGAUGCCCUGGAUGUGGAGCCUGCUGCCUGGAUGCUGGGUGUCCAACCCGCAGCUCCCUUUCCAUCCCCGCAGCUCCCUCUCCAUCCCCGCACCUCCUCCCUAAAUCCUCCCUUUUUGCCUGGACAGGGUCCACUGUCUUCUCUGGUUGCCAGCUUCCUGAAUAAAGUGACCUCUCUCUUUCCACUA
Canis lupus familiaris (dog) is the source of this 739-nucleotide long non-coding RNA. RefSeq lists it as uncharacterized. The record is from RefSeq and is a predicted model, not a curated record. Lineage: Eukaryota; Metazoa; Chordata; Mammalia; Carnivora; Canidae. The transcript has 2 exons.